Molecule: ribosomal RNA, 429 nt
Filed under: Bacteroidota bacterium
Lineage: Bacteria; Pseudomonadati; Bacteroidota
Description: Bacteroidetes bacterium partial 16S ribosomal RNA
Rfam family: Bacterial small subunit ribosomal RNA
Source: RNAcentral
UAGGGAAUCUUCCGCAAUGGACGCAAGUCUGACGGAGCAACGCCGCGUGAGUGAAGAAGGAUUUCGGUUCGUAAAACUCUGUUGUUAGAGAAGAACAGCGCAUAGAGUAACUGUUAUGCGUGUGACGGUAUCUAACCAGAAAGCCACGGCUAACUACGUGCCAGCAGCCGCGGUAAUACGUAGGUGGCAAGCGUUGUCCGGAUUUAUUGGGCGUAAAGCGAGCGCAGGCGGUCAAUUAAGUCUGAUGUGAAAGCCCCCGGCUCAACCGGGGAGGGUCAUUGGAAACUGGUUGGCUUGAGUGCAGAAGAGGAGGGUGGAAUUCCAUGUGUAGCGGUGAAAUGCGUAGAUAUAUGGAGGAACACCAGUGGCGAAGGCGACUCUCUGGUCUGUAACUGACGCUGAGGUUCGAAAGCGUGGGUAGCAAACAGG